RNAcentral lists this ribosomal RNA (357 nucleotides) under uncultured rumen bacterium. Its description in RNAcentral is "bacterial SSU rRNA". It matches the Rfam family "Bacterial small subunit ribosomal RNA", at positions 20 to 363 of the family's 1533-position model. The record is from RNAcentral.
UGGCUCAGGAUGAACGCUGGCGGCGUGCUUAACACAUGCAAGUCGAACGGAGCCUAAGAAGGAAGCUUGCUUUCAUUUUAAGCUUAGUGGCGGACGGGUGAGUAACGCGUGAGCAACCUGCCCCAUAGUGGGGAAUAACACCGAGAAAUCGGUGCUAAUACCGCAUAAUGUCGGAGGACCGCAUGAUCUUCCGACCAAAGGGAUUUAUUCGCUAUGGGAUGGGCUCGCGUCCGAUUAGGCAGUUGGCGGGGUAACGGCCCACCAAACCGACGAUCGGUAGCCGAACUGAGAGGGUGAUCGGCCACAUUGGGACUGAGACACGGCCCAGACUCCUACGGGAGGCAGCAGUGGGGAAUA